This 2910-nucleotide ribosomal RNA is filed under the name Salmonella enterica subsp. enterica serovar Typhimurium. RNAcentral's name for it is "bacterial LSU rRNA". It matches the Rfam family "Bacterial large subunit ribosomal RNA". Lineage: Bacteria; Pseudomonadati; Pseudomonadota; Gammaproteobacteria; Enterobacterales; Enterobacteriaceae. The record is from RNAcentral.
GAGGUUAAGCGACUAAGCGUACACGGUGGAUGCCCUGGCAGUCAGAGGCGAUGAAGGACGUGCUAAUCUGCGAUAAGCGCCGGUAAGGUGAUAUGAACCGUUAUAACCGGCGAUUUCCGAAUGGGGAAACCCAGUGUGACUCGUCACACUAUCAUUAACUGAAUCCAUAGGUUAAUGAGGCGAACCGGGGGAACUGAAACAUCUAAGUACCCCGAGGAAAAGAAAUCAACCGAGAUUCCCCCAGUAGCGGCGAGCGAACGGGGAGGAGCCCAGAGCCUGAAUCAGCAUGUGUGUUAGUGGAAGCGUCUGGAAAGGCGCGCGAUACAGGGUGACAGCCCCGUACACAAAAGCGCAUGUGCUGUGAGCUCGAUGAGUAGGGCGGGACACGUGGUAUCCUGUCUGAAUAUGGGGGGACCAUCCUCCAAGGCUAAAUACUCCUGACUGACCGAUAGUGAACCAGUACCGUGAGGGAAAGGCGAAAAGAACCCCGGCGAGGGGAGUGAAAAAGAACCUGAAACCGUGUACGUACAAGCAGUGGGAGCACCCUUUGGGGUGUGACUGCGUACCUUUUGUAUAAUGGGUCAGCGACUUAUAUUCUGUAGCAAGGUUAACCGUAUAGGGGAGCCGGAGGGAAACCGAGUCUUAAUUGGGCGUUAAGUUGCAGGGUAUAGACCCGAAACCCGGUGAUCUAGCCAUGGGCAGGUUGAAGGUUGGGUAACACUAACUGGAGGACCGAACCGACUAAUGUUGAAAAAUUAGCGGAUGACCUGUGGCUGGGGGUGAAAGGCCAAUCAAACCGGGAGAUAGCUGGUUCUCCCCGAAAGCUAUUUAGGUAGCGCCUCGUGAAUUCAUCUCCGGGGGUAGAGCACUGUUUCGGCUAGGGGGCCAUCCCGGCUUACCAACCCGAUGCAAACUGCGAAUACCGGAGAAUGUUAUCACGGGAGACACACGGCGGGUGCUAACGUCCGUCGUGAAGAGGGAAACAACCCAGACCGCCAGCUAAGGUCCCAAAGUCAUGGUUAAGUGGGAAACGAUGUGGGAAGGCCCAGACAGCCAGGAUGUUGGCUUAGAAGCAGCCAUCAUUUAAAGAAAGCGUAAUAGCUCACUGGUCGAGUCGGCCUGCGCGGAAGAUGUAACGGGGCUAAACCAUGCACCGAAGCUGCGGCAGCGACGCUUAUGCGUUGUUGGGUAGGGGAGCGUUCUGUAAGCCUGCGAAGGUGGCCUGUGAGGGUUGCUGGAGGUAUCAGAAGUGCGAAUGCUGACAUAAGUAACGAUAAAGCGGGUGAAAAGCCCGCUCGCCGGAAGACCAAGGGUUCCUGUCCAACGUUAAUCGGGGCAGGGUGAGUCGACCCCUAAGGCGAGGCCGAAAGGCGUAGUCGAUGGGAAACGGGUUAAUAUUCCCGUACUUGGUGUUACUGCGAAGGGGGGACGGAGAAGGCUAUGUUGGCCGGGCGACGGUUGUCCCGGUUUAAGCGUGUAGGUGUGUGUUCCAGGUAAAUCCGGUUCACUUUAACACUGAGGCGUGAUGACGAGGCACUACGGUGCUGAAGCAACAAAUGCCCUGCUUCCAGGAAAAGCCUCUAAGCAUCAGGUAACAUCAAAUCGUACCCCAAACCGACACAGGUGGUCAGGUAGAGAAUACCAAGGCGCUUGAGAGAACUCGGGUGAAGGAACUAGGCAAAAUGGUGCCGUAACUUCGGGAGAAGGCACGCUGACACGUAGGUGAAGUGAUUUACUCAUGGAGCUGAAGUCAGUCGAAGAUACCAGCUGGCUGCAACUGUUUAUUAAAAACACAGCACUGUGCAAACACGAAAGUGGACGUAUACGGUGUGACGCCUGCCCGGUGCCGGAAGGUUAAUUGAUGGGGUCAGCGCAAGCGAAGCUCCUGAUCGAAGCCCCGGUAAACGGCGGCCGUAACUAUAACGGUCCUAAGGUAGCGAAAUUCCUUGUCGGGUAAGUUCCGACCUGCACGAAUGGCGUAAUGAUGGCCAGGCUGUCUCCACCCGAGACUCAGUGAAAUUGAACUCGCUGUGAAGAUGCAGUGUACCCGCGGCAAGACGGAAAGACCCCGUGAACCUUUACUAUAGCUUGACACUGAACAUUGAGCCUUGAUGUGUAGGAUAGGUGGGAGGCUUUGAAGUGUGGACGCCAGUCUGCAUGGAGCCGACCUUGAAAUACCACCCUUUAAUGUUUGAUGUUCUAACGUGGACCCGUGAUCCGGGUUGCGGACAGUGUCUGGUGGGUAGUUUGACUGGGGCGGUCUCCUCCUAAAGAGUAACGGAGGAGCACGAAGGUUGGCUAAUCCUGGUCGGACAUCAGGAGGUUAGUGCAAUGGCAUAAGCCAGCUUGACUGCGAGCGUGACGGCGCGAGCAGGUGCGAAAGCAGGUCAUAGUGAUCCGGUGGUUCUGAAUGGAAGGGCCAUCGCUCAACGGAUAAAAGGUACUCCGGGGAUAACAGGCUGAUACCGCCCAAGAGUUCAUAUCGACGGCGGUGUUUGGCACCUCGAUGUCGGCUCAUCACAUCCUGGGGCUGAAGUAGGUCCCAAGGGUAUGGCUGUUCGCCAUUUAAAGUGGUACGCGAGCUGGGUUUAGAACGUCGUGAGACAGUUCGGUCCCUAUCUGCCGUGGGCGCUGGAGAACUGAGGGGGGCUGCUCCUAGUACGAGAGGACCGGAGUGGACGCAUCACUGGUGUUCGGGUUGUCAUGCCAAUGGCACUGCCCGGUAGCUAAAUGCGGAAGAGAUAAGUGCUGAAAGCAUCUAAGCACGAAACUUGCCCCGAGAUGAGUUCUCCCUGAGACUUAAAGUCUCCUGAAGGAACGUUGAAGACGACGACGUUGAUAGGCCGGGUGUGUAAGCGCAGCGAUGCGUUGAGCUAACCGGUACUAAUGAACCGUGAGGCUUAACCUUAC